This 1462-nucleotide ribosomal RNA is filed under the name Klebsiella pneumoniae. RNAcentral's name for it is "bacterial SSU rRNA". It matches the Rfam family "Bacterial small subunit ribosomal RNA". The record is from RNAcentral. Lineage: Bacteria; Pseudomonadati; Pseudomonadota; Gammaproteobacteria; Enterobacterales; Enterobacteriaceae.
AUUGAACGCUGGCGGCAGGCCUAACACAUGCAAGUCGAGCGGUAGCACAGAGAGCUUGCUCUCGGGUGACGAGCGGCGGACGGGUGAGUAAUGUCUGGGAAACUGCCUGAUGGAGGGGGAUAACUACUGGAAACGGUAGCUAAUACCGCAUAAUGUCGCAAGACCAAAGUGGGGGACCUUCGGGCCUCAUGCCAUCAGAUGUGCCCAGAUGGGAUUAGCUAGUAGGUGGGGUAACGGCUCACCUAGGCGACGAUCCCUAGCUGGUCUGAGAGGAUGACCAGCCACACUGGAACUGAGACACGGUCCAGACUCCUACGGGAGGCAGCAGUGGGGAAUAUUGCACAAUGGGCGCAAGCCUGAUGCAGCCAUGCCGCGUGUGUGAAGAAGGCCUUCGGGUUGUAAAGCACUUUCAGCGGGGAGGAAGGCGGUGAGGUUAAUAACCUCAUCGAUUGACGUUACCCGCAGAAGAAGCACCGGCUAACUCCGUGCCAGCAGCCGCGGUAAUACGGAGGGUGCAAGCGUUAAUCGGAAUUACUGGGCGUAAAGCGCACGCAGGCGGUCUGUCAAGUCGGAUGUGAAAUCCCCGGGCUCAACCUGGGAACUGCAUUCGAAACUGGCAGGCUAGAGUCUUGUAGAGGGGGGUAGAAUUCCAGGUGUAGCGGUGAAAUGCGUAGAGAUCUGGAGGAAUACCGGUGGCGAAGGCGGCCCCCUGGACAAAGACUGACGCUCAGGUGCGAAAGCGUGGGGAGCAAACAGGAUUAGAUACCCUGGUAGUCCACGCCGUAAACGAUGUCGAUUUGGAGGUUGUGCCCUUGAGGCGUGGCUUCCGGAGCUAACGCGUUAAAUCGACCGCCUGGGGAGUACGGCCGCAAGGUUAAAACUCAAAUGAAUUGACGGGGGCCCGCACAAGCGGUGGAGCAUGUGGCUUAAUUCGAUGCAACGCGAAGAACCUUACCUGGUCUUGACAUCCACAGAACUUUCCAGAGAUGGAUUGGUGCCUUCGGGAACUGUGAGACAGGUGCUGCAUGGCUGUCGUCAGCUCGUGUUGUGAAAUGUUGGGUUAAGUCCCGCAACGAGCGCAACCCUUAUCCUUUGUUGCCAGCGGUUCGGCCGGGAACUCAAAGGAGACUGCCAGUGAUAAACUGGAGGAAGGUGGGGAUGACGUCAAGUCAUCAUGGCCCUUACGACCAGGGCUACACACGUGCUACAAUGGCAUAUACAAAGAGAAGCGACCUCGCGAGAGCAAGCGGACCUCAUAAAGUAUGUCGUAGUCCGGAUUGGAGUCUGCAACUCGACUCCAUGAAGUCGGAAUCGCUAGUAAUCGUAGAUCAGAAUGCUACGGUGAAUACGUUCCCGGGCCUUGUACACACCGCCCGUCACACCAUGGGAGUGGGUUGCAAAAGAAGUAGGUAGCUUAACCUUCGGGAGGGCGCUUACCACUUUGUGAUUCAUGACUGGGGUG